AUAUGCCGUCAUGAUUGUUGUUCUUAUAUUACCGGAUCUCUUGUUUCAGCAUAAACCACUGAACAUGGCUCAGUAUGCUCAGAAGAAGGUGGAGAUAGCAAAACAGUUGAAGCUGGACAAUGAGGAUGGAUUUGUUCCUUUUAGACCCUUUGAGUUCUGAAAGGGAAAGAGAUUUGUCCCAUUUGGCUUGAAAUGAGGCAUUAUUAUCUCAUAUUACAGCAAGACGGAAGUAAUACGAAGAUUGUAUCACAUACAUAACCAGCCCAGUCUGACAUUGUGGAUGAUUCUUGGCUCAUGUUUUAAAUUAGUGGACAUCCCCCGUUGUAAUGUUAUUCACUAGAGUGAUGCUUGGUUUGUUUUUCGCAUUUGUUUCUCAUUUGCCGUAAAACAUAGUAAGAUAGUGGUCGCAUGAUGAGCAGGUCUUUUUUGGACCUGUAUGAGUAACAAUAUACUAGUAUUAUGCAAUGGAUGUAUGCUGGAGUUGGAAGACCAUAAUUUUGAUUGUGGCAAAAAAUAUGCUUAGCAGUGCAAA
Non-coding RNA from Aegilops tauschii subsp. strangulata, 532 nucleotides. NCBI's taxonomy places the organism in Eukaryota, Viridiplantae, Streptophyta, Magnoliopsida, Poales, Poaceae. The record is from RefSeq and is a predicted model, not a curated record.